AAAAAUAUAUAUUUUUUAAUUCUUUUUUCUGUAACUAUUAUUUUUUUUUACUUUUUUAUUUUAAAAACAUAAUAUAAUUUGAGAAUAUUUUGUUUCCUUUUUUAAAAGAUAUCGAAUUUAAAAUAAUGAAAUCCUAUUGGUUGGUGAACCUAGAGGUUCACCCUAGGGGGUGAACCCAAGAAUGACUCUAAAAACAAUGCAUGCUUUCAUGUUUAUGGUUACUUUAUGUAUUCAAAUUGUAGGUAGUUUUAGUUAAAAACACCAAUAUUAGAAAAAGUGUUUAUUUGUUAAAAAGUAGUAUUAUUUAAUAUAUAAUUUUAAUUAAUUAUAAAAAAUUUACAUUGAAAUGUUAAAACUAUUUAUAUUGUGAAACAAUUGUUUUGAUAAAACUACUUAUAUUAUAUUGGGUACUUAGUUGUAAACUUGUAAUCGAUUAUAUUUGAUAUAUAUAUAUAUAUAUAUGUAUAUAUAUAUAUAUAUGAUUAUUAUAAUUUUUUAGCUGUAUUUAAACUUAUAUUUUAGUUUAAUCUAACCUAAAAUAACAUAAAAAUUCAAAUACUUCAAAAAGUAAAUUACGCUGAAACAACAAUCAUCACAUUUUAAUUUAACAAAUAUUUUUUUUGCUUUAGUUCUUGAUCAAAUUAAUGAGCUAAACCUAUUGUUCUCUUAAUUUAAAAUAAUAAUUAAGUUGCAAAAAAAAAAAAAAUUAAAAUAAUAAUUAUGACUAAUCUUCCAUACAAAAUCAUGUCAAAUUGAAAAGCUGAAUAUUCUCUUUCUUUCUUGUUUUGCUAAUAAUUCUCAAAGGGACUAGGGUAGGUGGGUGAUCCAGAGAGCUUUUUAAUCAGUGUUCAUAAAAGAAUCCGCAGUUGUUCUUACCUUUAUUUACAAAUUAGAAUUGCAAAGAAAGACGAAACCUUUUUCGAGAGAAAACACAGCUAUCCAACUGUAACAUCGCACUCACCGAGUUUCCACUUCAUCUUUUUAGGAUAUUCAUUGCUUGCUCUCGAAGGAACUCUUGUACCACUUUAUUUAAUCUUAUUUAAUUUAUUCAUUUUAUAAAUUAAGAGAGUUUAUGUGCUGUUGUUAAAAAAAGGGGAGAGAGAGUUUAUGUGCUACAGGCUAUAUAGCUAACACUUAACCCUCAUUCUAAAAUUCAGACAAAAUGGAAAGUAUUAUAAAAAAAUUAUACUUGUAGUCAUAUAUUAAACAUUGUUAGUAUGAAAAGUUGUCACGAAAAUUUUAUUAAAAAAAAAGUUGUCACGAAAUUAAAACUAGUAACAGUUUAACCUUUUAAUUAUUGAAGCUAAGACGAAUGGAGUCUAUGGCUUCAAUUGGUGACUAUGGAAUAAAUGAAAUGAAUGAAAAAAAGUCUGAACAAAUUUUCAUUUAAUGAAUUGAAUUGGAAAAGAAAAGUUGAACAAAGAGGAAAAAUAUAACGAAGAGAAUUGAACGAAUAUUAAACAUGAAUGGUAGAUAAAAAAGAUGAACUUAUGUUUUCAUAUUUUAAUAGAUAUAAUAAGCAUUAAAGUACACGCACAAUGAGACCAUGAAGUUUUAAACUUCUUAUACAAUUUAACUUCCUAACCUAAGUAUGUCAAAACACCACACAAAUGAUCUAUAUUUAACAAGUGUCCUAGAAAAGUCAAUAAAUCAAUUUAACAAGUGUCCUAGAAAACUCAUACGAAUAUUAAAAACAGUAACGAGAUUGUUAUGGGUACAUGGUGGAGUUAAAUUGAUAUUGGGCAUGUUGCGCCUGUUUAAGAAUUAUCUUUAUUUUUUAUUUUAUUUUUUAUGUUUUUAAAACAUUUCCACUAGUUCCUCAUCAAAUUUAGAAGAGGAAAUAUUUUUUCAUGAGUUCCCAAAUAUAUGAGGAAAAUAAAGAAAAAUAGUGGGACCCAUGUAUUAACAGUUUGACAAAAAUUUCAACUGAAUUGGUAACAUUUUUAAGGAACAACCAAUUCAUCAUAUAUUUUUCCUAAAUACUAAUAAUAUUUAAAAUAAAUAAAUUAACGGUAAAUAAUAUUUUGGUAUUUUUUGAACUAAAAGUAUCCGGCAAGACUAAAAUGUUUUUGCCUCUAGAAUUAUAUAGUUUCUCCUUUCUCUCGUAUACUUCUUCUCCUUUUUUGAACUUUUUUCUGACAACUAUUCUAAAAAAAAACUUUUUUCUGACAUCAAAAUAAUUUUGAACUUAUUUCUUCUCUUUUCUCUCUUCAUUUUUAUAGAAGACAAUAUUAUUUUCAUCAGUAAAAAAAGUAUGUUCUGAAACUUACUGAGGCUUUAACAAUAAAUUUUAAGUUUUGAAAUUUAUUUAUAUAUACAUCGACCCUUUCGUUUCAUUAAGCUUUACUUGACGAUGACGACGGCAAAUAAUGUAAGAAAAUCUAAGGGGUAUAUUUAAUUGAGAAUUUGUGGUAAUUAUAUUAAACUGACAAAUUACUAUUAUUCAAAUAUGUAUUUUAAAAAUUCUUUUAAAAUUCUUUCUUUUUUUUUGAACCAUAGAAUUCAUUAAAAUCCAUUUUUAUUAAAUUUGAUAUUUCAUAAAAUACUUUAAAACUCAUUAUUUCUAAAAAUAUUUUAAGCAUAUUUUCAAAAUUUUUAAAUAAUUUCAGAGUAUUUGGAUAGAGUUUUUUCAGUUAAAAAAAUCAAAUGUUAUAGCUUUAGGUGAGAUUUUAGAGUGAUUUAACAAAAAAAAUCAUAUUAAUCUCUCUAAUUCAUAUAAAAUCAUCUACGGAAUUCAGACAAAAGCACUUGUAGGUUUUGUUUCCAGAAUUAUUCCCGCGGAACUAGUUCAUUGGAAAAUGCCCAAAAACUGUGAUCUAUCGGGAAUAAUUUAUGACUAUCAUAAGUCCGUCAAAAAUGAUUCCCAAUGACCAAGUGUCCAUCAAGAAUAAUUUCAGACGAUGUGAUCGGUCGGGAAUAAUUCCUAACAUUUUUUCGUCGAGAAAUUUCCUAACAACCAUUGUUUAGUCAGAAUUCUCGACGAAUUUUUGACAGAAUUUCAAUAAUAUAUUUUUAUUUCGUUAAAUCUAAUAUUUAAACUUAAAUAUUUUUAAAAUACAAUUAGUUAAAAUUUAUAAUUAAAAUAGCAGAGUUUGUAUUUGUAAUUGCUUAAAUGAGAACACAGACGAAAGAAACUGCCAAAAUAUUCAUCAGGUGGGUAUUUACUAGUGUGUUUUGUAAAAGAUGUCAAUCGGGCUGGUCUGGCUAGGCCAACACCUGCAAAACUUGUAAAUAUUUGAGUCUUGCUCGAUCCAAAUAUUUUUGCUAUACUCUAAAGUCCAACACGAUCCUAAUAGGGCUUUACGAACUAAUAUUAAUAACGUUAUAUAUACUUUUUCACCAUUUUAAAACAUAUACAUUAUAAAAAAAUCAGUUUCAUUUUUUUACAUGUAAGCAAGUUUAUACUUUUGUUAUUUUUUGUAUGAUGCAUUGGUUAUUAAGCCUUGUAGACAAACAAUUUUAAACAAUAGGGAUCCAAACAAUUUUAAACAAUAGGGAUCCAAAGUAAACAACACAUCUAUUUUGAAUAUACUAAAAGUCUUUCAUAUAAAAAGCUCAACUCUGUUUAUUUAAUAGUUAAAUCUUAAGAAAAAUAAUCUUAAUAGUAAUUAAAAAACGAUAAUGGUUGCCACUCUCUUUUUAUUGCUUUAGUAGGAGCCACCGAAAAAAGAAAUUCUUUAUGUUUAUCCGUUGAUAAUAUCAAAACCAAAUAAAUCACUGUUUCAAAAGUCGAUUAAUCAGAAUGUUUCAAACAGUCGAUUAACUAAAAUUUCAUAUUGUUUAUUCGGAAUAACCAUAGUAUAAGAAAACCAUAUCAUAGACAAACAAAUAUAACAAAAAAAAACUUAUACUAAACGCAGACAAGCGUUUUGCACUUUAUAAUUUUGAAAAUAAAACAUCUUUUACAUAAAGAAGAAUGAACAUGUGAUAAAUUUAGAAUGUGACUUUUGUGAUAAUCAAAAGGUAUAUUCACAGUUUUCAUAUUUUCUUUGUUAGAGUUCAGAUCAAGAAUAUUAAAACAAUAGGUUAAUAUCAAAAAUGGCUUUGGUCACAAAAAUGAUAUUAUCUAAACUAAGAUAUAUAGUUUUGGAUUUUCGAACCAGCAACAACCCAGAUGAGUCUAAGUCCAAAACAUCUAAAGCCCAAAACAUCUAUCCAAAAUAAAUUGAGUUUUUUGCAAAAUUGAUUCAAAACUCAAAGUCAACCACAAAACUAACCUAUAUUUUUUUAGAAAUGUUUUUUGCCCUAUUCACCCCACAAGUUCAUAUUAUUCACGAAAAUACAGUUAAUUUUUUUCGAAAAUGGUUUUUUUACUCUCUCAACCUCAUCAUCUUCAAGUAUUUACAAGAUUGCCAUUGCCAUCAAUACACCAACCACCAAGAACAACCAAUUUGAAGCUCUUAAUGCACCUCAAAUCUAUUUACACUCAUUCUUUCUCAAUUCUUAUGAAUUAAAAACAACAUCUCUUUCACUUUCUCUCCAUAUUCAUCCAAAAAUACCCAUUGAAGCUUACGAUUCUUGGUGGGUCACUUUUGUUUGAGAUUAUGCGUGCUUGGAGAAAACUUUUAUGUGCUAAACAAGUUAUCUCACUGGUUGAAACUAUGAAAUCAGUUUUUUUCCACAUCUGUUCGCCCAGACGACUUUCGGGUAAGUCUUCUGGCUGUAGACGACUUCCAAGGAAGUUUUCUGGUCAAUGUAGAUGUUAGUUUUGCAAUUGACUUUUAAAUGUGUUUUUAGAGACGAUUUCGUCCAUCUUUGUUUGUUAAAAAAAAAAUUAGAAACAACUUUCAUGUAAGUCGUCUAAGGUAAACAUGUUAGUUUUGCAUUUGACCGGAUUAUAUCAGAAAUUUGACUUUUCCUGGACGACUUACACAUAAAUCGUCUAGUAGAAAAUUAAAAAAUCAAUAUUUUGUUAUAUCUAGAGUUAGUUUUACAGUCAGACUUACACGAAAGUCAUCCAUGAUUUUAUUCUGAGAUUCUGGUCAAACCUUGUUUAUCUUGGACGACUUCCAUGUAAAUCGUCGGACGGGCUUACAAUAUCUCAGAAAACUCAUAAGACUUUCCUGCACAUCGUCUAGACGACUUAAAAUAUCUCAGAAGACUCAAAAGACUUAUAUUCGUAAAAAUGAAUUAUGUUUUUUUGUUUGGUCACAAGAAACUGACUGUAAUUUUACAAGUCUUUUAUAUUAGUUUUGCAUUUGAUUGAAGUUUGACUAUAAUUUUGCAUUUAAAAUCAAGUUUUGAGUCAUAUUUGGCAAAUUGUCAUUUACCCAAAAUACUAAUUUAUUUAUCUAUAUAAUUAAGCUCAAACUUGGUAAUUUUGUAGGGUUAGGCGAACUCGUACUACUUACGGCAACCUUAAUUGACAUGUCCACAUUCUGUGCAGGGGAUCCGCGUGAUAAAUGUCGAGAUUGACGGGGGAUCGUUAAGGAGAUUACACUUAAGAUGAUAGAGUCAGUGAGUGAGAAAAAAUGUAAGUUGGGGUUGAGAGGAUGGCUUUCAGAGACCUUCUUGGACGCAUUGUGGAGGAACAGUGGAACUGGUACGAGACCUGCUAGUACAUAUUCGUUAAGGGUCUGCUUUAGAAGCUCUAAUGAAAGAUAUCUCAAGACGCUGGUUCUGAGCUUGACUGCAAACACUUGUAUUAAAAUUUUGAAAAUGAAGAGCCUGUUAUGCACAGGAGAGGAAGUGAAGAAUGGUAUAAAUAGAUACAUGUUGUAAUUUGGUAGUCCAUGCUUGAUAUUUUCCAGUGUGGAAGAGACCACAUGUGACUUUCAUCUCCUAUUACUAUGAGAUCGCGAGUGGAACAAUAAAGGUGAAGAGAUAAAGGAGUUCAAAGUUACGAUCAUAACAAA
Brassica rapa (field mustard) is the source of this 5855-nucleotide long non-coding RNA. RefSeq lists it as uncharacterized. The record is from RefSeq and is a predicted model, not a curated record. NCBI's taxonomy places the organism in Eukaryota, Viridiplantae, Streptophyta, Magnoliopsida, Brassicales, Brassicaceae.